AUAACAGAUUUAUUAUUUGCGAUGCAUCUCCUUCAAUGUAUCGUAUAAUCUCUCCGAGGAACUCUCAAAAAAAAUUUCAGCCAAAACAAAUUUGCCGAGGCAUAGGAGAAUACAGUGGAGAAAAUGGUGAAAGUGUCAACCUACUUCGCGAUGUCACUUGGAGCCUUCUUAUUCUGGGAAUCCAUGGAUAAGCUUCACGUUUGGAUCGCUCUACAUCAAGACGAAAAGAGAGAGAGACAGGAGAAGGAAGCGGAGAUCAAGAGAGUCCGGGAGGAGCUCUUGAAACAAGCCAAACAUAGGGACUCUCUCCUGUGAUCGCGUUGUGUUUUGAUGCGGGUGGUGUUUUCUCUAAAUUCCUCUCGUUGUUAUUUUUACCUGAAUUGUCUAGUGCCGUAUGGAUAAAAAGCUUAACAAUCAACUUAUCUGUUUCAAGCUGAUGAGUUUGUCCGUUACGAAUUUUAUUUUUACCUGCUUUAUGAACCAGCCCAAUGCACCUGUUGGAAUGUUUAGUGAAAUUGGUUUUAAUAAGACUAUUACAUCUUCUAUGAGUUUAUUUGAUGUAAUAGAAGCAGUAAUUGAAAUUAAGAGAAACUGCAUGUUUUGCUUGAAUA
Molecule: RNA transcript, 611 nt
Organism: Juglans regia (Persian walnut)
Lineage: Eukaryota; Viridiplantae; Streptophyta; Magnoliopsida; Fagales; Juglandaceae
Exons: 2
Source: RefSeq, a predicted model, not a curated record